GACGAACGCUGGCGGCGUGCUUAACACAUGCAAGUCGAGCGAGGCCCCUCCUUCGGGAGGGUGUCCUAGCGGCGAACGGGUGAGUAACACGUGGGCAACCUGCCCUCAGCUCUGGGAUAACUCCGGGAAACCGGGGCUAAUACCGGAUACGACCUCCACGGGCAUCUGCGGAGGUGGAAAGUUUUUCGGCUGAGGAUGGGCCCGCGGCCUAUCAGCUAGUUGGUGGGGUAGUGGCCCACCAAGGCGACGACGGGUAGCCGGCCUGAGAGGGCGACCGGCCACACUGGGACUGAGACACGGCCCAGACUCCUACGGGAGGCAGCAGUGGGGAAUAUUGCGCAAUGGACGAAAGCCUGACGCAGCGACGCCGCGUGAGGGACGAAGGCCUUCGGGUUGUAAACCUCUUUCAGCAGGGACGAAGCGAAAGUGACGGUACCUGCAGAAGAAGCACCGGCCAACUACGUG
Molecule: ribosomal RNA, 465 nt
Filed under: uncultured bacterium
Lineage: Bacteria
Description: partial 16S ribosomal RNA
Rfam family: Bacterial small subunit ribosomal RNA
Source: RNAcentral